AUGACAGGGACAGAGAGAAGGGCUGGAGAAGCAGGAGCACAAUCGGAGACCCACCCCGAGGUUGCAGGAGCCGCGGAGACCCUCGUCCCGACAGGAGCCCCAAGCGCCCACACCCGAUUCUAUUUUCAGUUCAGGCCCAAAUCCCUGGCGGUUGGUCGAGGUAGAGGCGGGGCUCAGCGGCCUGGGCUGUCACCCACCCGGGGACACGUUCUUACACCCUCCAAUGGAUACACAGGUGCGACCUGGACCCGGACUGGAGCCUCCUCCGCGAGUAUGAACAUAACCUACGACGGCGCCAGUUACCUUGUCCUAAACCAGGAACUGCGCUCUUGGACCCCAGAGGACAAGGCGGCUCAGAUGCCCUGGCGGAGGAACAUGCAGAGCUGCUGAAAACCUACCCGCAGGGAAGGUGGCCGGAGCGGCUCAGCAAAGGCCUUAAGAAUGGGAAGGAGAAGCUGCAGUGCGCAGAUCCCCCAAAGACACGUGUGACCCACCACCCCAUCUCAGACCAUGAGGCCACCCUGAGGUGCUGGGCCCUGGGCUUCUACCCUGCGGAGAUCACACUGACCUGGCAGCGGGAUGGAGAGGAACAAACUCAGGACACAGAGCUCGUGGAGACCAGGCCUACAGGGGAUGGAACCUUCCAGAAGUGGGCGGCUGUGGUGGUGCCUUCUGGAGAGGAGCAGAGAUACACCUGUCAUGUGCAGCAUGAGGGUCUGCCCGAGCCCCUCACCCUGAGAUGGGAGCCGUCUUCCCAGUCCACCAUCCUCAUCGUGGGCAUCAUUGCUGGCCUGGUUCUCCUUGGAGCUGUGGUCACUGGAGCUGUGGUCGCUGCUGUGAUGUGGAGGAGGAAGAGCUCAGAUAGAUAAGGCGGGAGCUACUCUCAGGCUGCAAGCAGUGACAGUGCCCAGGGCUCUGAUGUGUCUCUCACGGCUUUAAAG
Molecule: RNA transcript, 941 nt
Organism: Mandrillus leucophaeus (drill)
Lineage: Eukaryota; Metazoa; Chordata; Mammalia; Primates; Cercopithecidae
Gene name: HLA class I histocompatibility antigen, A-11 alpha chain-like
Exons: 7
Source: RefSeq, a predicted model, not a curated record